This 72-nucleotide transfer RNA is filed under the name Nippostrongylus brasiliensis. It matches the Rfam family "tRNA". Rfam says of the family: Transfer RNA (tRNA) molecules are approximately 80 nucleotides in length. Their secondary structure includes four short double-helical elements and three loops (D, anti-codon, and T loops). The record is from Rfam by way of RNAcentral. Lineage: Eukaryota; Metazoa; Nematoda; Chromadorea; Rhabditida; Heligmosomidae.
ACAUCGGUAGCACAGUGGUUAGUGCAGUCUGCCGGAAAGAGAAAGACGCGGGUUCAAUUCCCGUCCGAUGUC